Molecule: transfer RNA, 84 nt
Filed under: Lentinula lateritia
Lineage: Eukaryota; Fungi; Basidiomycota; Agaricomycetes; Agaricales; Omphalotaceae
Description: tRNA-Asp
Rfam family: tRNA
About the family: Transfer RNA (tRNA) molecules are approximately 80 nucleotides in length. Their secondary structure includes four short double-helical elements and three loops (D, anti-codon, and T loops).
Source: RNAcentral
UCCCUGGUAGUAUAUCGGUCAGUACACGCGCCUGUCAUUUUCACCUUACCGCGCGAAAGCUGGGUUCGACUCCCAGCCAGGGAG